UUGAUUCUUGACUUGACCAAAUCUCUCUUCUCUCUCUCUCUCUCUCCACCGAAUCUCACCGGCGAUCUUCGCUUCCUCACCCACAAAUCUGAUUCCUCUCCAACACUCUUACCAGAUAAACUUUGAGCUUCUAGGGAUCAGAUUUUGAUCUUGUUAUGAGAAGGAAGAAGAAUGGCGACUCAGGUUGAUCCACCAAACGGAGUCAAGAAUCAAGGGAAGCAUUACUUCUCAAUGUGGCAAACACUCUUCGAGAUCGACACAGAAUACGUCUCUAUCACACCUAUAGGCCGAGGAGCAUCUGGUGUAGUCUGCUCAUCUGUUAACAAAGAGACUGACGAGAGAGUGGCGAUCAAUAAGAUCCACAAUGUGUUUGAGGUAUGAUGUUCUGACCACUGUCAAUACUUCUGGUUUCAGGUAUGAUGUUCUGUUUUGCAUUGUUGUCCUGUUGGUUUUGUCUUCUUUUUUUUUUGAGCAACUCGUGUUGGUUUUGUCUUAUUGCAUUUUUGUUUCUUUUUGUGUAGUUACUUCGAGGGCUUAAGUAUAUUCAUUCAGCCAACUUUCUCCACCGGGAUUUGAAACCAGGGGAUAUCAUUUUCACGUCUUUACCCGAAUUCGCAUGUUCUAGCAUUGAUCUGCUUCAGAAGAUGCUCGUUCUUGACCCACCCAUCUAAGAGGAUUAGUGUCACGGAAGCGCUUCAGCAUCCUUACUUGGCGCCUUUAUAUGACCCGAGUUCAAAUCCUCCUGCUGAAGUUCCUAUUGAUCUUGAUGUAGAUGUAGAUGAAGACGAGGAUUUGGGGGCACUUUUGUGAAAUCGGUUUUGAAAGCUUAAUGUAGUAUCUUUGGAAAUACUAUAUUUAUACGUGUACACAAAAUCCGUUGCAUCUUGAAGUGUCUUAAAUCUCUGUGCACCAGUAAAAGCUCAACAUUCGUUGGGUCGUACAUAGUAUGUAUUCCUCCUAUAAAGAAAAGUAAAUCGGGUUUUGAAGCUGCUAUAAAUACGAGUCUAAGGGUUUGUAAGAUAUUCAUUCACAU
Long non-coding RNA from Brassica oleracea var. oleracea, 1033 nucleotides. RefSeq lists it as uncharacterized. Lineage: Eukaryota; Viridiplantae; Streptophyta; Magnoliopsida; Brassicales; Brassicaceae. The record is from RefSeq and is a predicted model, not a curated record. The transcript has 3 exons.